UACGGAGGGGACUAGCGUUGUUCGGAAUUACUGGGCGUAAAGCGCACGCAGGCGGAUUUGUAAGUCAGGGGUGAAAUCCCGAGGCUCAACCUCGGAACUGCCUUUGAUACUGCAAAUCUCGAGUCCGGAAGAGGUGAGUGGAAUUCCUAGUGUAGAGGUGAAAUUCGUAGAUAUUAGGAAGAACACCAGUGGCGAAGGCGGCUCACUGGUCCGGUACUGACGCUGAGGUGCGAAAGCGUGGGGAGCAAACAGG
Molecule: ribosomal RNA, 253 nt
Filed under: uncultured bacterium
Lineage: Bacteria
Description: partial 16S ribosomal RNA
Rfam family: Bacterial small subunit ribosomal RNA
Source: RNAcentral